RNAcentral lists this ribosomal RNA (118 nucleotides) under uncultured bacterium. RNAcentral describes it as "partial 16S ribosomal RNA". It matches the Rfam family "Bacterial small subunit ribosomal RNA", at positions 1383 to 1500 of the family's 1533-position model. The record is from RNAcentral.
GUACACACCGCCCGUCACACCAUGGGAGUCGGGAAUGCCCGAAGUCAGUGACCCAACCUAUUGGAGGGAGCUGCCGAAGGCAGGUCUGAUAACUGGGGUGAAGUCGUAACAAGGUAUC